RNAcentral lists this long non-coding RNA (1212 nucleotides) under Mus musculus (house mouse). RNAcentral's name for it is "zinc finger, NFX1-type containing 1, antisense RNA 1". The stretch from base 626 to 715 matches the Rfam family "Small nucleolar SNORD12/SNORD106". The record is from RNAcentral. Lineage: Eukaryota; Metazoa; Chordata; Mammalia; Rodentia; Muridae.
UCCUUUCGUUCCGGCGGCUCCUAGAGCGUUUGCUUUGUUCCCGAUAUGUCUCGUCCCUCCGGGGUUAACUUGCAGAUGGUGAGUUGAGUCCACACAGCACAAGUUUUUUUUUUGUUAACCUCUUAUCAAGUUUAGUCGCUGUAACCGCUCCUAGUCUCCAAGUGUUGCUUAUGGAGCGCGAUCCCCAGGUUGACCUUCGAAGACGUGAUUCAAGUGGAAAAGACGCCUUCUGCUUUGGCCUGGGAAGCUUUUUGCUGGUGUAAAUGAUGAACUCACUUUUUUCCCCGUCAUAUCGACAGUGCUGAUGUUUUAAAACAUUUGCCAGUUUGUCCUGAUAAACACCAGCCUUCGAGGACCCUGGUCUUCUUUGUUCCUGGUCGAGGAUAUAGGUGGUGAUGGACGCUUUUGUUUUGUAGGUUGACCUGACCAAGCAGGACAGCAUGGAGGUUGGAGGGAGAGAAGGGCAUCGAGGGAGAUGAGAACUCACCUACCAUCUGAAAGUCUUAAGGUUUGCUGACAGACAAAACCGGGCUUUGAAUGGAGCGUGAACUCCUGAGGCGAGCAUUGGUGAGUGGUUUCCACGUGUCCCUCUUCCAGUGUAUACUUUGUUUCUGACAUAAACUUGGCUGGUGAACUGAUGAUAUCAUUUCUUUCCCCGUCAGAUCGACCCUGUUGAUCUCAAAUACUAAUUGCCAGUUUUGUCUGAUGCAUCAGCCCCAGGAAUAAUUCAUUGUUGGCUUUAAUCUAUUUCACUUGAUAAUGGCUUCGAUUUAUUUUCUACAGGCCCGAGAGAGCCGAGGAUGCAGGUGUUGGUCUGAUCUUGAUUUCAGGUGAGGUUCUUUUACUGUUUUAACCUGUUUCUAGGGAUGUUAUAACAAGUGUGGAGAGUAACGGGUGUUUGAUUCUUGGCUUUUGCUGCUCUGUUCAUGCUGUUAAGGUUCCUGGUGGGAUUCAAGUUCACCAUGUUGCUUGCUAAGUGGGGGUGGGGGAUGUGUUCAGCCAGAAAAGCCUAUCAACAUUUUACUUUUCUUUUUAGGUACUUUUGGAAUACAGAAUACCAGAUGUGUUCCUGCUGCCCAGCCCCACAAGGCUAUGCAGAAUGCAAAGAAGAGUUACUUUUUGGCUGGGGAGUAGUGGUAUCAUGUGCACUAUUGCUGGAAAUAAUAAAUAUUGGCCUAUCUGUAGAAAUAAAAAUCUGACUAAUGAUAUUUA